UAGCAAGAAAAUUUUUUGAAUUAGAUUUCUCGAAACCUGAGGAGCUACCUUAAUUUUGGUUUAGCCUUAGAUAAAGGUGGGUGUGGCAUAACCCUAUUUAAAAUUUAAGGUAGAAAUUAAAUGUUAUUCGUUUUAGGUGAUAGCUAGUUAUAACAUAAAGAUAUAUAAGUAUCGGAUAUAAUUUUAUUAUAUGUUUAUAUUAUAUACAUAUAAUGACUUGUUUUCUUAAUUAUGCGAGGGUAAGCUCGUAUAAAUUUAAUUUAACUAAAAUUAUAUAUGAAUCUAGGCUUGAAAUUAGCCAUGAUUUGGAAUUUGUUAAAAAUGCAUAUGUAUACAAAAACUUUGUAAUAUAUUAAAUUUAUGUUAUUCAAUUAUGUAAUUAAGGCAUAAUUGAUUUAUGCUAAAAUGAGUAUUGUUAUAGCUAAAACAAAAAAUAAAUUAAAUUUUUUUAAAAAUUUUUUAUAAAUACUAUAAAAUAUAUCAUAGGAACUCGGCAAAAAUUUAGCUCCGCCUGUUUAGCAAAAACAUGUCUCUUUG
RNAcentral lists this ribosomal RNA (537 nucleotides) under Cyclophorus formosaensis. Its description in RNAcentral is "partial 16S ribosomal RNA". The record is from RNAcentral. Lineage: Eukaryota; Metazoa; Mollusca; Gastropoda; Architaenioglossa; Cyclophoridae.